This 229-nucleotide long non-coding RNA is filed under the name Numida meleagris (helmeted guineafowl). RNAcentral's name for it is "lncRNA (ENSNMEG00000020295.1)". Lineage: Eukaryota; Metazoa; Chordata; Aves; Galliformes; Numididae. The record is from RNAcentral.
UUAAGCCUUCUGUAGCUGUUGGUCCAGUGCAAAAAGGAUGAGAAAUACAAUUCCCAUUGGGGCAGGGGAGCAGCAACACUCAGAGGAAAGUUCAGGUGGGAUCUGCGGUCCUGUGCAACUGUGGGUACGCAGUAAGGAGGGCGGCUGCCCUUCCUUCCCUUGGUGCCUACAGCUGGCUCGUGUUGUCGGACUCGCAGCUGAUGCCCCUUGGCCGAUCAUGCAUUGCUGA